GCUUCCCGUUAGUCCCGGUGAUGAGUGGGUGUCGGAGAAGCCGUGCCCCCCUACUAUCAUUCAUUCCCCUUCCUUUCCCUUUCUUCCUCACCUCUGCCUCCUCCUGUCCGUGUCCUUUCUCGCCCCCACCCCCCGCCCCCCACUGCGUGCACCCGUAUCCCACUCAUUUUGUCACCACCAAGGGGAAGAAAAUGAGCGCCCGCCAGGAAGCGGAGGCAGAGCAGAGGGAAGGAAGGCGGCCCAGCCGAGCGUGGCUCCCAGGGAAACUCUGCUCCGUCCCUGUAGCUGUCCCCGUCCACCGUGAGCUCCUCACACCCCUGUCCGCCGCCGAAGGAUUAGCAGAGCGCAGGGGGGACCGCCGCAGAAGAAAAGGACAAACCCAGAAUGCAGAAAAGCUCCAAGGGGUGUUGGGCUGAGGAGAAGCAAUCCUUUCCACAGCCAAGGCAGAGAAGAAAGGGGAAGCUUAGGUGUGUAGGUACAGCUGGAUGCCAGAGGUCAGGUAGGACAUGCCUCAGUUCACCUUCGCCUGCUUCUGUGGCCUCCAUGGCUUCUGCCGGAUGAAGCGCAAGAAAAAGAAGGAGGAGGAGGAGGAGGCAAGCCGGCGGCGGGAGCAGGAGACGGUUGUGUGACCAGGGCGGGGCAAUUGAGGGAAGCAGCUACCUGUGUAGUGCCACUCCCAUCAGCUUUAGCUUAAAUUGCCCAACAACUUCCUUUCUCAACCUGCUGUACCCACAUGACUGGGAGGUUUUGUGGGAAUGGGAAGGCCUUUCUUUAGCUGUGCAGAGGCCAGUACACUCUGGCGGGCCUUUGAUUCUGAGACACACACACACAGCCAUCCAAACCGCUUGCAUUCUCCAGCUCCUGUCCAGCAGGUCCCCCGUGUAUACUAAUUUUCAUGCCAGUUGAACCAUUGACUGAGUAGGGCAGGAGUGAGCAACUCCCAUCCUCUAGGGCCAGGCUCUGGUGAUGUUUGGAAUAAAUUUCAAUUAGCCACUAAUUUUCCCAAUUUGAUAUGAGUUACUGUUUCAAUAAUAUGAGCUCUGUGGAAAAGACUAGCUACUGAGCAAUAAUGAAAGACCAGGAAUGCCAUGCGGCCCUUGUGGACUAAGAUUGCACACCCCUGAUUUGCAAAGUUUUGAAACCUGCAUUUCAUAUUUUGCCACAGUACCUCCCUUCAAGUCUAGAUCAGUCAUUUCAGUUUCCAGUACUGGAGCUCCUCCCUGAAAUCUUCUGUUGUGAAACAAUGGCAGAUGGCAGCUAUUAUUUAGCACUUGUACCAAUGUUUAUCUGCAUAAAUACACAAUAAUGUAUUUAAAAUUUGAAAUAGGGAUGUAGAAAUUUGGAAAUCUGAAGGAAACAUGCAUGCACUGGAAUCACCUUGCAACGACACUGAAAAACCCAAUAGAUAGACGUGCUUGUUAACAUGCUGGGAAAUUGUUAACAUACCUCAACUGCAUGGGGACCUAAAUGGCCUUUGAAAAUGUCAAAGUAUGGCAAUACAACUGCUGCCUGCCAAUUAAAACUGAAAUUGAGUAACACCUAAUCCCAAACACACACCCCAAACCUAUACAGCAUUUUAUUGAAAUCUGAGGAUUCUUCUGUAUGAUGAAUCUUCUGCUAGGCAUUUUCAUAUGCAUAUAAUCAAUAGUCCAUUAUCAACAACUGCUUGUGGGGAGCGGGGGACAUGGUGAGCCGGAGCCUGGCCCGGCAGCACAGGGCCGAGGGGAGUGCACCCAGGGCGGGGCGCCAGUCCAUUGCAAGGCACCCUAAGCGGGGCUUGAACCCCAAGCCUGCCACCCAGCGGGGACUGGCCAAACCCACCGCACCACCACAACCCCCUCCCUUAUAAUCUGUACUAUUAUUCCUUACCAGUAAGACAUAACUCUUUUUUAAAAAUCAUUUAGUUGAGUUAUGGCGAGCUGUUAAUAAGCGAUGGCAUGUUUUGACAAAAGUGUUAGGGUUCAGAGUCUUUUAACGGCAUGAGAAGAAUUUACAGUUGAUGAAACAUCAGGUCAGUGCCACUAGGCACAAUGCAACUCGGGUAUUCUUAAUUUGUUAGUUGACUAAUGCUUCUCUACACUGCAGCUUAAUUUUACCUAUUUAUAAAGCUGGGUAUUUUACCGGAGCAGUAGAGGUUAGAAGUGGUGCUCUCGAGUACUACAGCAAAAUCUUUCACUGAACUUGAACAAACAACGCUAUGGGUUGAUGCCCUUAAGCACUACCUUACUCACUGUCCCAUUACAGCAUAUAAUGAUAUUAAUCAUAUACUGGGUUUAUUUAGUAAUAUGUGCUCAGUUCUCUUUUUAAGUACAGUAUUUUUAAUUAUUUGGUGUACUCAUUUUUUCACUUGCAGUAUAUGAACAAAGCAUACAAGCUUGGUCAUACAAGGCAGUCUAUGCACUGCGUAUGGUGAAAGAAACUGUAACUCUCCCAUCACAGUCCAAAGUUGAUACUCCUGUAAGAUUUAAAAAUUCAUGACAAGUUCAAAGCUUUGCUUUCUCCUCAUUCACUCAUCUUUAUAAUUACCCUACAUUACUAGAAACAACUGUGGCAGCGCUUUUUGCAUGUACUGUACGCAUUCAUUAUUGGUUUUGAAUGCUUUGCAGAUGCACCUAGUUGGACCAGUUAUGUUGUUCUUUAGAAUAGAAAGGUGGAUACAAGAAGCAACAAGAGGUGUGAACAGCAGCAGACUUGCUUUGUUUUCUUGGGUUCACUCACUAUAGGCUUUGUGCAACCGGAACAGUACAAUUAACAUUUCCAGUAGGAUAUGGCAUGUUGUCUGACAGUUUGUAGCACAAACCAAGCCAAACAGCAGCAGGGCUGCAGCGAACUGAUAAUUCCAUGACGUCUUUCUGGACUAAAGACAUAAUUAACAAUUCAAAGCAUUUCACCCCGUGACAUAUCAAUCAACACACCUGCUGUUCUAAGCACUCACAUUUUUUGCCCAAAAAUAAAUGGAUAGACUUGAGAUAACAAAACCUUAGUUGUAUAUGUAGUGUCUUUUAUACUGGGGAGGUGAGUAAUUUUUUCUUCCCUCUCAGAAAGCAGAAAUUGGCGGGCACAAAGUGUACAAAUGUUUUUUUUUUUUUUUUUUAAAUUGUGGUACCGUAUUAGGUAAUAGUUAUAAUAUUUAACGAGAAGUGAAAUAGCACAAAAACGUGCUCCUUCUUACCAUGGAUGAUGAUCACUGCACACUGUAAAGUAGAAGGUACACAAACUCCUUCCAUGACAGGUUUUUAUUUUUUACAAUCUCAUUAGUCAGUGAUGUGGUGAUGUGGCUAGUACCACAGCUAAGUGCAACCCUUAUAAAUGUUGCCUGAUUGCUGAUUUUUUUUAUUUUUAGAACGAUUUAUACAUCCGACUCACACAGUCCAGUCCUAUAUUAUCUUUGCUUGAGAGGCACAGCCCAAUAAUACUAAUAAUAGGAUGUAUUCACGGUAAGGAUAUUUUCUUUUGGAUGCCUCGCCUCUCAUUCCCAGGAUCACAGUAUUGUUCGCGGAUGUUAAGCCGCAGGCAAAUUAUGCAUUGCUAAAAAUAGGGGGAAGACCGCAAAUCCUUUAUUAACGUUGCUACAAACCCGCAAAAAAAAAAAAAAGAACACUGUCAGACACGGUUCCCCUCAUAGCAAAGGAGUCAGAAAGAAAAGAUUCGGCACAUGAGGCUUUCAUUUGCAUCCUUCCCUUCCCUUUCCCCUACUGACUGGGGCCCUCUGGCACAUGCUCGGUGGCCGCUCUGUGGCUGACGUCCCUCUUGGAGGAGACAGUUGCCCUUUUUUCCCUAAUGAAGAUUAAAGCGCGCGUUUCCUCUUCUUCAGAAAUUCUAAUUAGCCAUCCAGCCGGCCUGCAAGCACACGAGGCGGGGAGAUGUCAGUCGGCGAUAGAGAAGCUGCGAAAGAGAGAUUGUUUAAUUGCAAACGUAAUGGAUGUUGUCAGGAGCACCUGUCAAAUCUCUGGCGAAAACGGACCAACGGGUAGGGGGAGAGAAGAGGGGUAACUCUGCUUGAUUGCUAAUUUGUGCAGGUCUACAAAUAUCAAACGUGCAACGUAUGCAAUGUGUGGCUGUUGGGAGGGAAGGUAAUCGCAUACGAAAGACAAACUGCAAGAAAUAAAUGUCUUUGGAGGGUUUGGGUAAUUUGUUGGAAAACAUGCCAUUUGCAUUCUGCUGCACCUGCUGCUUCCGACUUGGUAGCGCUCCAUGCUACACUGGAGUGCAGUGUUAAGGUUCGGCUCCACCAAAAUCCUGCAUCAUGUUUAUCACACGAUCCCCUUCGCUUUUUUGAGCUUGGUUUCCUCUAGGGUGGUUUCACGCAGAAAAACAAGCCAUUUUAUAACAUGCGAAACAUACUGCAGACAUCUAAAAAAGCCAUCAGCUAGCUAUGAAAAACCACCCUUGUUUUUCACAGCAGAAAUUGAUUUUUUUGCUUUACUUUGUUAAUGAAUGCGCUGCAUAUAUAAACAAGGUAAUGAAUAAAACAAUGUGAAUGUUACAUGAGAGAAGUCUUUUCUCUAUAGACCCUCUGUAACUAUGAGGACGGAGAAGGACAGCUUCGCUUUCUGUAUCGAAGCGACCAAAUAGGUAAACAUCUGUUUGAAAAUGGAAUGCAGAUAAUUAAUCAUGAAAGAAGGUCAAUCACAAGCGUGUUCUAUACCCUUAAAAGUGCUUUAUGGUGACCUCUGAUUGCGCACAUCAUUCUGGAAGUGAUUCAUUUUGGCAGCUUACCUUUUAAAUGGGGACGCUGCGUUACACUGGAUGGAGCUCAUUUUACAUUUUCUGGCUGGCCAAGGUGUUUUGUACUCUGUUUAAUCUGGAAGACCUUCUUAUCCUUUCGGUUUGUGUUUCAUUUAUGCAUAGCGGUUGAACUAAAUUCAAAUGAUGUCAAGUUGAAAGCAGCUUAGAUUGAACUUGUAUUUUUUUUUUUUUUUAACAUAUGCACAAGCUAGUCUUUCACAAGGAAAAAGAAGAUUAACUUGUAGCUUGUCAUUUACAAGAAGGGUUUUGCAGCCAAAAGAAAAGUGUUUGCUGUCAGAAAGUGGGAUAAGCUUAACAGGGCUGCUGUUAUAAAACAAAAAGGGCAUGAAGCAAACAUGUCUUUCAGUAAACAAAAGAUGCCAUUUGGUUAUAUUUAGUUGUAAGAACUGGGCAAGGCAAUCAAUAAUAGUGAUAAAAAGGGCAUGAAAGCCUGAAUGACGAAAAAUGCUGGAAAAAAAAGAACACAAUGGAAUUAAAAGCAUCUCUGGGAUACAGUGUGAAAGUGAGUUCAUCAAUAAAAGGAGCUGUAAGAGAUCUUCACAGGAACUGUACAAACAGGGCUUCAGUCUGUCCCUGUGUGUGUGUGCCUGAAUGCAAUUUGAAUUAAUCAGUACAGAUGCUCAGAAUGAUGACGGAUAGGUGAAAUGAUUGUAUUUAUUAAGGUCCAGCUCAUGGUUUCACCGAAUCGAUUGUAAGUGUUCUGUCUGAGCGGUAUUUGAUUGUUUGUAAGGCAAGUAUGGCCUAAUCUGUUUAUAUUUCAGAAUACAGAAUUAGUCUUCUAUUUCAUUGUUUUCUAUUGUCCUUUUUCAGGCAAUAUGAAUUAUAUACUGUACACAAUAACGCAAUGGAUA
This is a long non-coding RNA of Scleropages formosus (Asian bonytongue), 5600 nucleotides long. RefSeq lists it as uncharacterized. The transcript has 3 exons. NCBI's taxonomy places the organism in Eukaryota, Metazoa, Chordata, Actinopteri, Osteoglossiformes, Osteoglossidae. The record is from RefSeq and is a predicted model, not a curated record.